CAUCUAGGCGGUCAAUCAAGUCGAAGGUGAAAACUUGUGGCUCAACCAUAAGCUUGCCUACGCAACUGAUUAACUAGAGUACUGGAGAGGUGGACGGAACUACACGAGUAGAGGUGAAAUUCGUAGAUAUGUGUAGGAAUGCCGAUGAUGAAGAUAGUUCACUGGACAGAAACUGACGCUGAAGUGCGAAAGCUAGGGGAGCAAACA
RNAcentral lists this ribosomal RNA (207 nucleotides) under uncultured bacterium. Its description in RNAcentral is "partial 16S ribosomal RNA". It matches the Rfam family "Bacterial small subunit ribosomal RNA", at positions 568 to 774 of the family's 1533-position model. The record is from RNAcentral.